GGGCACGUAGCUCAGGGGUAAGAGCAUCCGUCUUAUAAGCGGAAGGUCGGUGGUUCAAUUCCACCCGUGCCCA
This 73-nucleotide transfer RNA is filed under the name Candidatus Nealsoniibacteriota bacterium. RNAcentral describes it as "Candidatus Nealsonbacteria bacterium tRNA-Ile". It matches the Rfam family "tRNA". Rfam says of the family: Transfer RNA (tRNA) molecules are approximately 80 nucleotides in length. Their secondary structure includes four short double-helical elements and three loops (D, anti-codon, and T loops). Lineage: Bacteria; Candidatus Nealsoniibacteriota. The record is from RNAcentral.